GGCGAACCGGGGGAACUGAAACAUCUAAGUACCCCGAGGAAAAGAAAUCAACCGAGAUUCCGAAAGUAGCGGCGAGCGAAAUUGGACUAGCCCUUAAGCUUUACACGCGUUAGACGAACGGUCUGGAAAGUCCGACGAUACAGGGUGAUAGUCCCGUAGUUGACGACGUGUGUUCAGUGAAAUCGAGUAGGGCGGGACACGUGAUAUCCUGUCUGAAUAUGGGGGGACCAUCCUCCAAGGCUAAAUACUACUGACUGACCGAUAGUGAACCAGUACCGUGAGGGAAAGGCGAAAAGAACCCCUGUGAGGGGAGUGAAAUAGAACCUGAAACCGUGUACGUACAAGCAGUAGGAGCAGGCUUUGUCCUGUGACUGCGUACCUUUUGUAUAAUGGGUCAGCGACUUAUAUUCAGUGGCAAGGUUAACCAUCUAGGGGAGCCGUAGGGAAACCGAGUCUUAACUGGGCGUUCAGUCUCUGGAUAUAGACCCGAAACCAGGUGAUCUAGCCAUGGGCAGGUUGAAGGUUGAGUAACAUCAACUGGAGGACCGAACCGACUAAUGUUGAAAAAUUAGCGGAUGACUUGUGGCUAGGGGUGAAAGGCCAAUCAAACCUGGAGAUAGCUGGUUCUCCCCGAAAGCUAUUUAGGUAGCGCCUCGGACGAAUACUACUGGGGGUAGAGCACUGUUAAGGCUAGGGGGUCAUCCCGACUUACCAACCCUUUGCAAACUCCGAAUACCAGUAAGUACUAUCCGGGAGACACACGGCGGGUGCUAACGUCCGUCGUGGAGAGGGAAACAACCCAGACCGCCAGCUAAGGUCCCAAAUUACUACUAAGUGGGAAACGAUGUGGGAAGGCUCAGACAGCCAGGAUGUUGGCUUAGAAGCAGCCAUCAUUUAAAGAAAGCGUAAUAGCUCACUGGUCGAGUCGGCCUGCGCGGAAGAUGUAACGGGGCUAAGUAGUAAACCGAAGCUGCGGCAAUGUGCUUUUGCACAUUGGGUAGGGGAGCGUUCUGUAAGCGGUUGAAGGUGUGUGGUAACGCAUGCUGGACGUAUCAGAAGUGCGAAUGCUGACAUGAGUAACGAUAAAGGGGGUGAAAAACCUCCUCGCCGGAAGACCAAGGGUUCCUGUCCAACGUUAAUCGGGGCAGGGUAAGUCGACCCCUAAGGCGAGGCCGAAAGGCGUAGUCGAUGGGAAACGGGUUAAUAUUCCCGUACUUCUUACAAUUGCGAUGGGGGGACGGAGAAGGCUAGGUGGGCCUGGCGACGGUUGUCCAGGUUCAAGUGCGUAGGCUUAAGCGNNNNNNNNNNNNNNNNNNNNNNNNNNNNNNNNNNNNNNNNNNNNNNNNNNNNNNNNNNNNNNNNNNNNNNNNNNNNNNNNNNNNNNNNNNNNNNAUGUGAAGUCAUUGAUGCCAUGCUUCCAGGAAAAGCCUCUAAGCUUCAGAUUGUAAGGAAUCGUACCCCAAACCGACACAGGUGGUCGGGUAGAGAAUACCAAGGCGCUUGAGAGAACUCGGGUGAAGGAACUAGGCAAAAUGGUACCGUAACUUCGGGAGAAGGUACGCUCUCGACGGUGAAGUCCCUCGCGGAUGGAGCUAUUGAGAGUCGCAGAUACCAGGUGGCUGCAACUGUUUAUUAAAAACACAGCACUGUGCAAAAUCGUAAGAUGACGUAUACGGUGUGACGCCUGCCCGGUGCCGGAAGGUUAAUUGAUGGGGUUAGACUUCGGUCGAAGCUCUUGAUCGAAGCCCCGGUAAACGGCGGCCGUAACUAUAACGGUCCUAAGGUAGCGAAAUUCCUUGUCGGGUAAGUUCCGACCUGCACGAAUGGCGUAAUGAUGGCCACGCUGUCUCCACCCGAGACUCAGUGAAAUUGAAAUCGCUGUGAAGAUGCAGUGUACCCGCGGCUAGACGGAAAGACCCCGUGAACCUUUACUACAGCUUGGCACUGAACAUUGACCCUACAUGUGUAGGAUAGGUGGGAGGCUUUGAAGCACGUACGCCAGUAUGUGUGGAGCCGUCCUUGAAAUACCACCCUUGUAGUGUUGAUGUUCUAACGUCGACCCCUUAUCGGGGUUGCGGACAGUGCCUGGUGGGUAGUUUGACUGGGGCGGUCUCCUCCCAAAGAGUAACGGAGGAGCACGAAGGUGGGCUAAUCACGGUUGGACAUCGUGAGGUUAGUGCAAUGGCAUAAGCCCGCUUGACUGCGAGAAUGACAAUUCGAGCAGGUGCGAAAGCAGGUCAUAGUGAUCCGGUGGUUCUGAAUGGAAGGGCCAUCGCUCAACGGAUAAAAGGUACUCCGGGGAUAACAGGCUGAUACCGCCCAAGAGUUCAUAUCGACGGCGGUGUUUGGCACCUCGAUGUCGGCUCAUCACAUCCUGGGGCUGAAGUCGGUCCCAAGGGUAUGGCUGUUCGCCAUUUAAAGUGGUACGCGAGCUGGGUUUAGAACGUCGUGAGACAGUUCGGUCCCUAUCUGCCGUGGGCGUUGGAAGAUUGAAGGGGGCUGCUCCUAGUACGAGAGGACCGGAGUGGACGAACCUCUGGUGUUCGGGUUGUGUCGCCAGACGCAUUGCCCGGUAGCUAAGUUCGGAAUCGAUAACCGCUGAAAGCAUCUAAGCGGGAAGCGAGCCCUGAGAUGAGUCUUCCCUGAUACUUUAAGUAUCCUAAAGGGUUGUCGGAGACUACGACGUUGAUAGGUCAGGUGUGUAAGUGCUGUGAGGCAUUGAGCUAACUGAUACUAAUUGCCCGUGAGGCUUAACCAUACAACACCCAAGGGGUUU
This 2776-nucleotide ribosomal RNA is filed under the name Vibrio parahaemolyticus. RNAcentral's name for it is "partial 23S ribosomal RNA". It matches the Rfam family "Bacterial large subunit ribosomal RNA". The record is from RNAcentral. Lineage: Bacteria; Pseudomonadati; Pseudomonadota; Gammaproteobacteria; Vibrionales; Vibrionaceae.